This 820-nucleotide ribosomal RNA is filed under the name uncultured Rhodopseudomonas sp. Its description in RNAcentral is "bacterial SSU rRNA". It matches the Rfam family "Bacterial small subunit ribosomal RNA", at positions 40 to 906 of the family's 1533-position model. The record is from RNAcentral. Lineage: Bacteria; Pseudomonadati; Pseudomonadota; Alphaproteobacteria; Hyphomicrobiales; Nitrobacteraceae.
CGGCGGCUGCUUACCUGCAAGUCGAACGGGCGUAGCAAUACGUCAGUGGCAGACGGGUGAGUAACGCGUGGGAACGUACCUUUUGGUUCGGAACAACUGAGGGAAACUUCAGCUAAUACCGGAUAAGCCCUUACGGGGAAAGAUUUAUCGCCGAAAGAUCGGCCCGCGUCUGAUUAGCUAGUUGGUGAGGUAAUGGCUCACCAAGGCGACGAUCAGUAGCUGGUCUGAGAGGAUGAUCAGCCACAUUGGGACUGAGACACGGCCCAAACUCCUACGGGAGGCAGCAGUGGGGAAUAUUGGACAAUGGGGGCAACCCUGAUCCAGCCAUGCCGCGUGAGUGAUGAAGGCCCUAGGGUUGUAAAGCUCUUUUGUGCGGGAAGAUAAUGACGGUACCGCAAGAAUAAGCCCCGGCUAACUUCGUGCCAGCAGCCGCGGUAAUACGAAGGGGGCUAGCGUUGCUCGGAAUCACUGGGCGUAAAGGGUGCGUAGGCGGGUUUCUAAGUCAGAGGUGAAAGCCUGGAGCUCAACUCCAGAACUGCCUUUGAUACUGGAAGUCUUGAGUAUGGCAGAGGUGAGUGGAACUGCGAGUGUAGAGGUGAAAUUCGUAGAUAUUCGCAAGAACACCAGUGGCGAAGGCGGCUCACUGGGCCAUUACUGACGCUGAGGCACGAAAGCGUGGGGAGCAAACAGGAUUAGAUACCCUGGUAGUCCACGCCCGUAAACGAUGAAUGCCAGCCGUUAGUGGGUUUACUCACUAGUGGCGCAGCUAACGCUUUAAGCAUUCCGCCUGGGGAGUACGGUCGCAGAUUAAAACUCAAGG